Molecule: transfer RNA, 65 nt
Filed under: Coleoptera sp. 30 KM-2017
Lineage: Eukaryota; Metazoa; Arthropoda; Insecta; Coleoptera
Description: tRNA-Pro
Source: RNAcentral
CAGAGAUUAGUUUAAUAAAAAUAUUAAUUUUGGAGAUUAAAGUUGGGGGUACUCUCUUUCUCUGA